ACCCCCUCCUCACCAGCUAGCCCACCCCAAAACACAACAACCCCCAUUAAUAACCCCAAACACCAUAGCAACCCACAAAUAAAACAUUUUUCCCCCUGAGUA
Molecule: ribosomal RNA, 102 nt
Filed under: Bathygobius cocosensis (Cocos frill goby)
Lineage: Eukaryota; Metazoa; Chordata; Actinopteri; Gobiiformes; Gobiidae
Description: partial 16S rRNA
Source: RNAcentral